Molecule: ribosomal RNA, 433 nt
Filed under: uncultured bacterium
Lineage: Bacteria
Description: partial 16S ribosomal RNA
Rfam family: Bacterial small subunit ribosomal RNA
Source: RNAcentral
AACGAACGCUGGCGGCAUGCCUAACACAUGCAAGUCGAACGAGACCUUAGGGUCUAGUGGCGCACGGGUGCGUAACGCGUGGGAACCUGCCUUUAGGUUCGGAAUAACUCAGAGAAAUUUGAGCUAAUACCGGAUGAUGUCUUCGGACCAAAGAUUUAUCGCCUUUAGAUGGGCCCGCGUUGGAUUAGCUAGUUGGUGGGGUAAAGGCCUACCAAGGCGACGAUCCAUAGCUGGUCUGAGAGGAUGAUCAGCCACACUGGGACUGAGACACGGCCCAGACUCCUACGGGAGGCAGCAGUGGGGAAUAUUGGACAAUGGGCGAAAGCCUGAUCCAGCAAUGCCGCGUGAGUGAUGAAGGCCUUAGGGUUGUAAAGCUCUUUUACCCGAGAUGAUAAUGACAGUAUCGGGAGAAUAAGCUCCGGCUAACUCCGUG